UACAGAGGGUGCGAGCGUUAAUCGGAGUUACUGGGCGUAAAGGGCGCGUAGGUGGCCCGGUCAGCGUGCGGUGAAAGCUCGGGGCUCAACCCCGAGUCGGCCGUGCGAACUGCUGGGCUUGAGCACUGUAGAGGCAGGCGGAAUUCCGGGUGUAACGGUGGAAUGCGUAGAGAUCCGGAAGAACACCGGUGGCGAAGGCGGCCUGCUGGGCAGUGGCUGACACUGAGGCGCGACAGCGUGGGGAGCAAACAGG
Molecule: ribosomal RNA, 253 nt
Filed under: uncultured bacterium
Lineage: Bacteria
Description: partial 16S ribosomal RNA
Rfam family: Bacterial small subunit ribosomal RNA
Source: RNAcentral